RNAcentral lists this transfer RNA (71 nucleotides) under Caudoviricetes sp. Its description in RNAcentral is "tRNA-Trp". It matches the Rfam family "tRNA". Rfam says of the family: Transfer RNA (tRNA) molecules are approximately 80 nucleotides in length. The record is from RNAcentral. Lineage: Duplodnaviria; Heunggongvirae; Uroviricota; Caudoviricetes.
AGGCUGGUGUAAUGGCAACAUUAUUGACUCCAAAUCAAUAGAUUAAAGUUCAACUCUUUAGCCUCUUGCCA